This 1164-nucleotide ribosomal RNA is filed under the name Triticum aestivum (bread wheat). Its description in RNAcentral is "partial small subunit ribosomal RNA". The record is from RNAcentral. Lineage: Eukaryota; Viridiplantae; Streptophyta; Magnoliopsida; Poales; Poaceae.
AUGGCCAUGGUGCUGGACGCCUUCGCGUCCUACAUCGCCGACACGAUCAAGCAGAUGGCGGCAGACGAGGUGGGGAUGCUGCUCGGCGUCACGGGGGAGAUCGACAGCCUGAAGGACAAGCUGGAGAGCCUCAGGGAUUACCUCGCCGAUGCCGAGAGGAAGCGCAUCACUGACCGGAGGGUGCAGGGGUGGGUCACGAAGCUCAAGGGUGUCAUGUACGAGGCGAGCAACAUCCUCGACCUCUGCGAGCUCAAGGCCAUGGGUCGGCGGGACGCAGCACCCGCAUCCUGCUGCAACCCUCUGCUCUUCUGCUUGCGGCACCCCAGAUUCGCCCAUGACAUUGGCAGCCGCAUCAGGAAGCUCAACAAGAGGCUGGACAACAUCUGCAAGCUGGGUGCUGCCUUCAGCUUCAUCAAGCUGGAGACCUACCAGGACUACAGGACCGGCCGACCUUCUGCGGCUGACCGGAAGACGGAUCCGGUUUUGGAGCGCUCGGCCGUAGUAGGGGAGAAGAUUGAAGAUGAUACAAGAACACUGGUUGAGGAGCUGACAAAGGAUAACGAUGGUAUCAUGGUGGUCGCCAUCGUUGGUGUCGGCGGGAUUGGGAAGACCACCCUUGCCAAGAAGGUCUUCAACCAUGAGGAAAUUCAACACAAGUUUGACAAGAAGAUGUGGCCACAGGACUUCAGCGAGGUUGAGCUACUAAGAUCGGCCAUCACUGCCGCUGAUGGAAAACUCCCUGCAACUCAAGACAAAUCUAUGCUUGUGCCGGCCCUUCUCAACGCCGUCAGAAAUCAGAAGUUUCUUCUGGUUUUGGAUGACAUGUGGACUGAUAGAGCAUGGACCUCCUUGCUCAAUCGUCCCUUCAGCUAUGGUGCCCCUGGUAGCCGGAUUGUCAUCACCACUAGAAAUGAUACUGUUGCCCGAGGCACGAGAGCCAGAGAGCCCUACCACCGCAUUGACAAAUUAGGGCCUGAUGAUGCCUGGUCAUUGCUCAAGAAACAGGUAGUCUCGGGCGAUGAAGAUGGACCUGAUAUCGAUAUGCUUAAGGAUAUUGGACUGCAAGUGGUUGAAAAAUGUGAUGGUUUGCCUCUUGCUGUCAAAGUAAUGGGAGGAGUUUUGCGUCAGAAGGGAAGCAACGCCAUGACUGGGAGAUGGUUCUGA